Molecule: ribosomal RNA, 899 nt
Filed under: Vibrio parahaemolyticus
Lineage: Bacteria; Pseudomonadati; Pseudomonadota; Gammaproteobacteria; Vibrionales; Vibrionaceae
Description: bacterial SSU rRNA
Rfam family: Bacterial small subunit ribosomal RNA
Source: RNAcentral
GAGUACUGUAGAGGGGGGUAGAAUUUCAGGUGUAGCGGUGAAAUGCGUAGAGAUCUGAAGGAAUACCGGUGGCGAAGGCGGCCCCCUGGACAGAUACUGACACUCAGAUGCGAAAGCGUGGGGAGCAAACAGGAUUAGAUACCCUGGUAGUCCACGCCGUAAACGAUGUCUACUUGGAGGUUGUGGCCUUGAGCCGUGGCUUUCGGAGCUAACGCGUUAAGUAGACCGCCUGGGGAGUACGGUCGCAAGAUUAAAACUCAAAUGAAUUGACGGGGGCCCGCACAAGCGGUGGAGCAUGUGGUUUAAUUCGAUGCAACGCGAAGAACCUUACCUACUCUUGACAUCCAGAGAACUUUCCAGAGAUGGAUUGGUGCCUUCGGGAACUCUGAGACAGGUGCUGCAUGGCUGUCGUCAGCUCGUGUUGUGAAAUGUUGGGUUAAGUCCCGCAACGAGCGCAACCCUUAUCCUUGUUUGCCAGCGAGUAAUGUCGGGAACUCCAGGGAGACUGCCGGUGAUAAACCGGAGGAAGGUGGGGACGACGUCAAGUCAUCAUGGCCCUUACGAGUAGGGCUACACACGUGCUACAAUGGCGCAUACAGAGGGCGGCCAACUUGCGAAAGUGAGCGAAUCCCAAAAAGUGCGUCGUAGUCCGGAUUGGAGUCUGCAACUCGACUCCAUGAAGUCGGAAUCGCUAGUAAUCGUGGAUCAGAAUGCCACGGUGAAUACGUUCCCGGGCCUUGUACACACCGCCCGUCACACCAUGGGAGUGGGCUGCAAAAGAAGUAGGUAGUUUAACCUUCGGGGGGACGCUUACCACUUUGUGGUUCAUGACUGGGGUGAAGUCGUAACAAGGUAGCGCUAGGGGAACCUGGCGCUGGAUCACCUCCUUAAACGAUGAU